AUACGGAGGGUGCAAGCGUUAAUCGGAAUUACUGGGCGUAAAGCGUACGUAGGCGGUGAGUUAAGUUAGAUGUGAAAGCCCCGGGCUCAACCUGGGAACUGCAUUUAAAACUGGCUCACUAGAGUUGAGUAGAGGGGAGUGGAAUUUCAGGUGUAGCGGUGAAAUGCGUAGAGAUCUGAGGGAACACCAGUGGCGAAGGCGACUCCCUGGACUCGAACUGACGCUGAGGUACGAAAGCGUGGGUAGCAAACGGGAUUAGAUACCCCAGUAGUCC
This 274-nucleotide ribosomal RNA is filed under the name uncultured bacterium. RNAcentral describes it as "partial 16S ribosomal RNA". It matches the Rfam family "Bacterial small subunit ribosomal RNA", at positions 523 to 796 of the family's 1533-position model. The record is from RNAcentral.